Molecule: transfer RNA, 71 nt
Filed under: Erinaceus europaeus (western European hedgehog)
Lineage: Eukaryota; Metazoa; Chordata; Mammalia; Eulipotyphla; Erinaceidae
Rfam family: tRNA
About the family: Transfer RNA (tRNA) molecules are approximately 80 nucleotides in length. Their secondary structure includes four short double-helical elements and three loops (D, anti-codon, and T loops).
Source: Rfam by way of RNAcentral
GUGGGGAGGGCUCAGUGAUAGGUCACAUGCCUUAUACGCAUGAAGCCUUGGGUUCAAUUCCUAGCACCACA